This 21-nucleotide non-coding RNA is filed under the name Caenorhabditis elegans. The record is from RNAcentral. Lineage: Eukaryota; Metazoa; Nematoda; Chromadorea; Rhabditida; Rhabditidae.
UGUAAGAAACAUUGUAUAAAA